UGGCGAGGACGACCUCCCCCGCUUAGGGCCUCACCGCCGGGACGGCCCGG
This 50-nucleotide non-coding RNA is filed under the name Dokdonella koreensis. RNAcentral describes it as "Guanidine-II sequence". It matches the Rfam family "Guanidine-II riboswitch aptamer (mini-ykkC)". From Rfam's summary of the family: Simpler in structure and has fewer highly conserved nucleotide positions than the ykkC-yxkD leader. RNAcentral also lists the same sequence under 1 other name. Lineage: Bacteria; Pseudomonadati; Pseudomonadota; Gammaproteobacteria; Lysobacterales; Rhodanobacteraceae. The record is from RNAcentral.